RNAcentral lists this long non-coding RNA (420 nucleotides) under Homo sapiens (human). RNAcentral's name for it is "HSALNT0318903". Lineage: Eukaryota; Metazoa; Chordata; Mammalia; Primates; Hominidae. The record is from RNAcentral.
AACACAUCAGCGGAAGAAGACAAAAGCAGCUGGUCUUGGAGAAUCCGCCAGGGGAAGAGCACACUGGCAGGCACCGCAGGCCAUCGAUCGUCAGAAAGACACGGAGUUUGGCCAGAAUUAUCAGAGAAGAGUUUGGCCAGAGGGGUCAGAGAAGACUCCAGCGGAAAACCAUCUCCCCUGUGACUCCAGAAUCUUCUGAGAGCUACUUCUACUUAAUAAAACCUUGCACUCAUUCUCCAAGCCCACAUGUGAUCCGAUUCAUCCAGUACACCAAGUGUCCAGGGACAUCUAGAUGAUAGAAGUUCCUUCAGAUGGGUCCCUGGUGUGAGGGUGUCCUGUAUCAGACUGCCUAUUGAAGUUCAACCUGUGGUUCAAGACAGGAUCUCAUUCAGAAUACUACUUUCAUUCAGGCUGGAGUGC